This 2093-nucleotide long non-coding RNA is filed under the name Nicotiana tabacum (common tobacco). Its description in RNAcentral is "long non-coding RNA (NTAB_LNC013925)". The record is from RNAcentral. Lineage: Eukaryota; Viridiplantae; Streptophyta; Magnoliopsida; Solanales; Solanaceae.
UUUUAGUAGCGGAAGUAGGCCCAUGCGAAAAGGUUCAAAGUGCAAUAUAUUUUCUUUUUAAAAAUACACCAUAAUUUUAUUUUAAAUGAAAUACAAUGUCAAAAUAUUAACAGAUUAAACCAACUUCCUAACUGAUUAAUACAAUCAUUCAAAAUCACUGCAAGUUUAUAUUGUACAUAAAUUUCAAACUAUCAGGUAUAAAAAAAAAGGAAACUAGUUUUCUCCUUUUCUACAUAUUUACAAGAGAAAGCGUAAAUUCAGCAUAUUACAAGACUUGAGUUAUUAAAACACCCUAAUACAAUAAAAUAGGUUACAAAUUCAAGUUACAAGAUUUUGGUCUUUAAAAUCCAACAAGCCUCCAAAUAACAUAAGUGUGACAUAUAUAUAUAUAUCCUGUAUAUCAUGUACAUGUCCCCAAACUAUGCAAACCAAGGUGCAUAUGCAAAUGUGAUCUCCAUAAAUUCUCCCAAAAAGAGUACUUCACCCUGACCAUCUUCAGAUUUCAUCCCGACCAUUUCCUACGAUAGAAAACAACUAUCGCUAAGCAUGAAGCUUAGUGGCGUAUAAACUUUAGGCUUGAAGUCAUUAAAUUCUCCAAUUCCCCUUUUCGGUCAUAGUUAGCUCAAUUUAAUAUAAUUUAAAACAAGUGAACAAAUAUAUCAAACAUAUCCAUAUCAAACUUUGAAGUGUUUCCAAAUAUCAAUAACAAUGUUCAAGAGUUUAGAAAGUGUAUACUAUCAAUUUAAGAGAGUAUACCAAAUAUCCAUUUUUCACCCAAUAUGUACGUCAUGCCAUCUCACUAAGCAUAAUCAAAUAUCAAGAUGGACCGAAGCCCCAAAUCAAGUAGGGUCAAAACCCAAUAGACCAGAGAAUCAAGAACCAUAUUAAAAAUGGCUUCCUAGUUCGUACUUAACACAGACAAGUUCCAUAAUUCAAGACGAACUACAAAUCCAAAGUCAAGAUGGCAAAAGAUCCAAAUCAAGAGGCAUGCCAAGAUGAGUGACAAAGUCACUGCCACAAGAAGGACAAAGUCCCAACAAGAAUGCAAAAUAAUCAAACAUCCGUACGAAUGGACGAUUUUGCAAAUAUCUUACAAUACUUGAUAUAAUACGAAUAUAACAAUAUAAAUUGAAGCCAAGAAAAAUAAAAUAUCAAGUUAUUUCAACAUAUUCCAGCAAGCAAAAAGAGUACAAGUUUAUACACAAACCUUGGUGUUUUACCACGAAACAGUUCAAUCACAACUUGGGGACGUUCGAAUCGUCUACGCCGUAAACAAACCAAAUCUGUCCACUUCCUCAAACACUUCCCCUUUGAUUUUUUUUCAAGAGUUUAUAUACAUUAAAUACAUAAUCAAGUAUCUAAAUAAGUUCAGUGAUUUAGCAAGUCAAACUAAAUAUGAUAUUGGUGAAAUUAUUCAAAAACAUUUGAAACAGAAAUUCUGGACAGUAUCACUGUUCCGAGUUAUGACUCAGUUUCGAAUAUCUAAACGGACAAACUAGACUUUAUGGUCUUCACAAAAGUUGUAGAUCUAUGUCUUACCAUUUCAUAACAUCUUGAAUCACCUCCAUAUCAAUUUUGAACAAAAGGUUAUGCUAAAAUUACUAACAGCAGUACAUGGAGUAUUUCUAAAACUGAAAAUCUGGACAGCACCUGCCCUGUACUUUCUGAUCCUUUUUCAGGUAAAUACCAACAAAAAUAGAUUUUGGUUCCUCCAUAAGAGUUAUAGAUUUAUGAAAUACCUUUCCAGAAAGUCCUGGAUCACUUAAAUCAGAGCUCUGUACAAAAAGAUAUGUAGAAAAUUCUAGUAGGUGUCUAGUAUAAAAACGAGUUUAGAAACUUACCAAGAGGAGCAACUUGAUCUUCACCAAAAACGAAAUUUGCUUGUUGAUUUAGUAGAAAUCCAUGGUUUUUUUUUCAUGAAACUUCAGAUUUUCUAGUUUCUACGGAGGAGAGAGAGAUAGAGAGAUAGAGAUAGAGAGAAAGAGAGAUAGAUAGAAAGAGAGAGAUGAAUAACUAUUCUUCUUUGUCUUGAAGAAUAGAAAAAAAUGGGGAGUUUAUGGAUAGAUAUAAAAUAAAAUGGUUACCCAACUACU